This 726-nucleotide ribosomal RNA is filed under the name uncultured bacterium. Its description in RNAcentral is "bacterial SSU rRNA". It matches the Rfam family "Bacterial small subunit ribosomal RNA", at positions 60 to 746 of the family's 1533-position model. The record is from RNAcentral.
AGUCGAGCGAGUCUGCCUUGAAGAUCGGAGUGCUUGCACUCUGUGAAACAAGAUACAGGCUAGCGGCGGACGGGUGAGUAACACGUGGGUAACCUGCCCAAGAGAUCGGGAUAACACCUGGAAACAGAUGCUAAUACCGGAUAAUAACAGAUGAUGCCUAUCAACUGUUUAAAAGAUGGUUCUGCUAUCACUCUUGGAUGGACCUGCGGUGCAUUAGCUAGUUGGUAGGGUAACGGCCUACCAAGGCGAUGAUGCAUAGCCGAGUUGAGAGACUGAUCGGCCACAUUGGGACUGAGACACGGCCCAAACUCCUACGGGAGGCAGCAGUAGGGAAUCUUCCACAAUGGACGCAAGUCUGAUGGAGCAACGCCGCGUGAGUGAAGAAGGGUUUCGGCUCGUAAAGCUCUGUUGUUGGUGAAGAAGGACAGGGGUAGUAACUGACCUUUGUUUGACGGUAAUCAAUUAGAAAGUCACGGCUAACUACGUGCCAGCAGCCGCGGUAAUACGUAGGUGGCAAGCGUUGUCCGGAUUUAUUGGGCGUAAAGCGAGUGCAGGCGGUUCGAUAAGUCUGAUGUGAAAGCCUUCGGCUCAACCGGAGAAUUGCAUCAGAAACUGUCGAGCUUGAGUGCAGAAGAGGAGAGUGGAACUCCAUGUGUAGCGGUGAAAUGCGUAGAUAUAUGGAAGAACACCGGUGGCGAAGGCGGCUCUCUGGUCUNNNNNUGACGC